UAUAAACUCUUGAAUAUUUUUCAUGUUUAAAAAUUUUGUAAUGCGACCACAAACUAGUAAAUAAGCAAUUCCAAAUUUACAAUGCUUUGAAUUCACAGGGCUUCCCAUGUCUCUCAUCAUUUGCCUCCCACAUACCGUCCUCCGUCUUCCACUCUCUAGAGCGCAGCAAUGGAAGGGCACGACACAAUCGCUUCAUUUCAAUAAACAAAUCUCUCCUUACAAGUCUUCAAGUGCAAAUUUAUGCACGACCCAUUAUCAGUCGAAUGAUCGGAAUUUUCCCCCAAACUUCCUCCUCAUAUUUAUCAAACAGAAGCAUAGGCGCUAAUUCAGAAGACAAAUUUAGAUCUACAAGGUAGAACACACACACACACACCCAUUGAUAAUUAGAAAAAAAGUUAUCCAGAUCUAGCAGAGAAAAGAAAUAAAAUUAAAGAUAAAUCCCAUAUUUACCCAGAAAAUAAAACAAAAAAGAAUCUGCGAGGUAGGCGACGAGGCUCAGAUCAGAAGUGUUUCUCAACCAGACAAGAAAAGAAGACCCCUUCUUGGCUGCAGCAAUGAAUGAGCUGCAAAAUGA
This is a long non-coding RNA of Populus euphratica (Euphrates poplar), 574 nucleotides long. RefSeq lists it as uncharacterized. Lineage: Eukaryota; Viridiplantae; Streptophyta; Magnoliopsida; Malpighiales; Salicaceae. The record is from RefSeq and is a predicted model, not a curated record. The transcript is spliced from 2 exons.